GACGGAGGGUGCAAGCGUUGCUCGGAUUUACUGGGCGUAAAGGGCGCGUAGGCGGCUUGGUAAGUCUGAUGUGAAAGCCCACGACUCAAUCGUGGAAGUGCAUUGGAUACUGCUAGGCUAGAAUGCAGGAGAGGUGAGCGGAAUUCCAGGUGUAGAGGCGAAAUUCGUAGAUAUCUGGAGGAACAACGGUGGCGAAGGCGGCUCACUGGACUGAUAUUGACGCUGAGGCGCGAAAGUGUGGGGAGCAAACGGG
This 253-nucleotide ribosomal RNA is filed under the name uncultured bacterium. RNAcentral describes it as "partial 16S ribosomal RNA". It matches the Rfam family "Bacterial small subunit ribosomal RNA", at positions 524 to 776 of the family's 1533-position model. The record is from RNAcentral.